This 496-nucleotide ribosomal RNA is filed under the name uncultured bacterium. RNAcentral's name for it is "partial 16S ribosomal RNA". It matches the Rfam family "Bacterial small subunit ribosomal RNA", at positions 29 to 507 of the family's 1533-position model. The record is from RNAcentral.
AUGCACGCUGGCGGCGUGCCUAAUACAUGCAAGUCGAGCGCACAGACGAGGAGCUUGCUCCUCUGACGUUAGCGGCGGACGGGUGAGUAACACAUGGAUAACCUACCUAUAAGACUGGGAUAACUUCGGGAAACCGGAGCUAAUACCGGAUAAUAUAUUGAACCGCAUGGUUCAAUAGUGAAAGACGGUUUUGCUGUCACUUAUAGAUGGAUCCGCGCCGCAUUAGCUAGUUGGUAAGGUAACGGCUUACCAAGGCAACGAUGCGUAGCCGACCUGAGAGGGUGAUCGGCCACACUGGAACUGAGACACGGUCCAGACUCCUACGGGAGGCAGCAGUAGGGAAUCUUCCGCAAUGGGCGAAAGCCUGACGGAGCAACGCCGCGUGAGUGAUGAAGGUCUUCGGAUCGUAAAACUCUGUUAUUAGGGAAGAACAAAUGUGUAAGUAACUAUGCACGUCUUGACGGUACCUAAUCAGAAAGCCACGGCUAACUACGUG